AACGGACUGGCGGCGAUGCGUUUACUACACUGCAAGUCGAACGGCGAGCGCGGGGCGAACCUGGCGGCGAGUGGCGAACGGGUGGAGUAAUAAUAAUCGGAACGUACCCGAACGAGUGGGGAGUAACGUAGCGAAAGUUACGCUAAUACCGCAUACGAUCUAAGGAUGAAAGCAGGGGAGUCUUCGGACCUUGUGCUCCUGGAGCGGCCGAUAUCUGAUUAGCUAGUUGGUGAGGUAAAGGCUCACCAAGGCCACGAUCAGUAGCUGGUCUGAGAGGACGACCAGCCACACUGGAACUGAGACACGGUCCAGACUCCUAUGGGAGGCAGCAGUGGGGAAUUUUGGACAAUGGGCGAAAGCCUGAUCCAGCAAUGCCGCGUGAGUGAAGAAGGCCUUCGGGUUGUAAAGCUCUUUUGUCAGGGAAGAAACGGUGAGGGCUAAUAUCCCUCGCUAAUGACGGUACCUGAAGAAUAAGCACCGGCUAACUACGUG
RNAcentral lists this ribosomal RNA (492 nucleotides) under uncultured Oxalobacteraceae bacterium. RNAcentral describes it as "bacterial SSU rRNA". It matches the Rfam family "Bacterial small subunit ribosomal RNA", at positions 36 to 507 of the family's 1533-position model. Lineage: Bacteria; Pseudomonadati; Pseudomonadota; Betaproteobacteria; Burkholderiales; Oxalobacteraceae. The record is from RNAcentral.